CCUGGAUUAGCUUAAGGAGUAGAGCACCAAUCUUUUAAAUUGGGGGUAUAGAAAUUUAUUCGGGA
RNAcentral lists this transfer RNA (65 nucleotides) under Hiatella arctica. Its description in RNAcentral is "tRNA-Lys". It matches the Rfam family "tRNA". From Rfam's summary of the family: Transfer RNA (tRNA) molecules are approximately 80 nucleotides in length. Their secondary structure includes four short double-helical elements and three loops (D, anti-codon, and T loops). The record is from RNAcentral. Lineage: Eukaryota; Metazoa; Mollusca; Bivalvia; Adapedonta; Hiatellidae.